This 408-nucleotide ribosomal RNA is filed under the name uncultured bacterium. RNAcentral's name for it is "partial 16S ribosomal RNA". It matches the Rfam family "Bacterial small subunit ribosomal RNA", at positions 28 to 526 of the family's 1533-position model. The record is from RNAcentral.
GACGAACGCUGGCGGCGUGCUUAACACAUGCAAGUCGAACGAAGUGGCGAACGGGUGAGUAACGCGUAAUCAACCUGCCCUUCAGAGGGGGACAAAAGUUGGAAACAACUGCUAAUACCGCAUACGGAAGGAGGGGAUUGCGUCUGAUGAGUUAGUUGGAGGGGUAACGGCCCACCAAGGCGAUGAACAGUAGCCGGUCUUAGAGGAUGAACGGCCACAUUGGGACUGAUACACGGCCCAGACUCCUACGGGAGGCAGCAGUGGGGAAUCUGCCGCAAUGGACGAAAGUCUGACGAAGCAACGCCGCGUGAGAGAUGACGGCCUUCGGGUUGUAAAGCUCUGUUAAUCGGGACGCGGUACCGGAAUAGAAAGUCACGGCUAACUACGUGCCAGCAGCCGCGGUAAUUC